RNAcentral lists this ribosomal RNA (428 nucleotides) under uncultured bacterium. RNAcentral's name for it is "bacterial SSU rRNA". It matches the Rfam family "Bacterial small subunit ribosomal RNA", at positions 354 to 774 of the family's 1533-position model. The record is from RNAcentral.
GUGGGGAAUUUUGGACAAUGGGCGCAAGCCUGAUCCAGCCAUGCCGCGUGCAGGAUGAAGGCCUUCGGGUUGUAAACUGCUUUUGUACGGAACGAAAAGGUGCCUUCUAAUAAAGGGCGCUCAUGACGGUACCGUAAGAAUAAGCACCGGCUAACUACGUGCCAGCAGCCGCGGUAAUACGUAGGGUGCGAGCGUUAAUCGGAAUUACUGGGCGUAAAGCGUGCGUCGGUGGUUGUUUAAGUCUGACGUGAAAGCCCCGGGCUCAACCUGGGAACGGCCUUUGUGACUGCAAGGCUGGAGUGCGGCAGAGGGGGAUGGAAUUCCGCGUGUAGCAGUGAAAUGCGUAGAUAUGCGGAGGAACACCGAUGGCGAAGGCAAUCCCCUGGGCCUGCACUGACGCUCAUGCACGAAAGCGUGGGGAGCAAACA